AUUGAACGCUGGCGGCAGGCUUAACACAUGCAAGUCGAGCGGGGAAGGUUGCUUUGGUAACUGACCUAGCGGCGGACGGGUGAGUAAUGCUUAGGAAUCUGCCUAUUAGUGGGGGACAACAUUCCGAAAGGGAUGCUAAUACCGCAUACGCCCUACGGGGGAAAGCAGGGGAUCUUCGGACCUUGCGCUAAUAGAUGAGCCUAAGUCGGAUUAGCUAGUUGGUGGGGUAAAGGCCUACCAAGGCGACGAUCUGUAGCGGGUCUGAGAGGAUGAUCCGCCACACUGGGACUGAGACACGGCCCAGACUCCUACGGGAGGCAGCAGUGGGGAAUAUUGGACAAUGGGCGGAAGCCUGAUCCAGCCAUGCCGCGUGUGUGAAGAAGGCCUUUUGGUUGUAAAGCACUUUAAGCGAGGAGGAGGCUCCUUUAGUUAAUACCUAAAGAGAGUGGACGUUACUCGCAGAAUAAGCACCGGCUAACUCUGUGCCAGCCGCCGCGGUAA
RNAcentral lists this ribosomal RNA (501 nucleotides) under uncultured bacterium. RNAcentral's name for it is "partial 16S ribosomal RNA". It matches the Rfam family "Bacterial small subunit ribosomal RNA", at positions 30 to 523 of the family's 1533-position model. The record is from RNAcentral.